RNAcentral lists this ribosomal RNA (195 nucleotides) under uncultured bacterium. Its description in RNAcentral is "partial 16S ribosomal RNA". It matches the Rfam family "Bacterial small subunit ribosomal RNA", at positions 162 to 353 of the family's 1533-position model. The record is from RNAcentral.
GCUAAUACCGCAUAAGCCCACGGGUCGGCAUCGACCAGAGGGAAAAGGAGCAAUCCGCUUUGAGAUGGCCUCGCGUCCGAUUAGCUAGUUGGUGAGGUAAUGGCCCACCAAGGCAACGAUCGGUAGCCGGACUGAGAGGUUGAACGGCCACAUUGGGACUGAGACACGGCCCAGACUCCUACGGGAGGCAGCAUG